RNAcentral lists this ribosomal RNA (253 nucleotides) under uncultured bacterium. RNAcentral describes it as "partial 16S ribosomal RNA". It matches the Rfam family "Bacterial small subunit ribosomal RNA", at positions 524 to 776 of the family's 1533-position model. The record is from RNAcentral.
UACGGAGGGAGCUAGCGUUGUUCGGAAUUACUGGGCGUAAAGCGCACGUAGGCGGCUUUGUAAGUUAGAGGUGAAAGCCCGGAGCUCAACUCCGGAACUGCCUUUAAGACUGCAUCGCUUGAAUCCAGGAGAGGUGAGUGGAAUUCCGAGUGUAGAGGUGAAAUUCGUAGAUAUUCGCAAGAACACCAGUGGCGAAGGCGGCCAACUGGUCCGGUACUGACGCUGAGGUGCGAAAGCGUGGGGAGCAAACAGG